Molecule: ribosomal RNA, 467 nt
Filed under: uncultured bacterium
Lineage: Bacteria
Description: partial 16S ribosomal RNA
Rfam family: Bacterial small subunit ribosomal RNA
Source: RNAcentral
GAUGAACGCUGACAGAAUUCUUAACACAUGCAAGUCAACUUGAAUUUGGGUUUUUAACUUAGGUUUGGGUGGCGGACGGGUGAGUAACGCGUAAAGAACUUGCCUCACAGCUAGGGACAACAUUUGGAAACGAAUGCUAAUACCUAAUAUUAUGAUAAUAGGGCAUCCUAUAAUUAUGAAAGCUAUAAGCGCUGUGAGAGAGCUUUGCGUCCCAUUAGCUAGUUGGAGAGGUAACGGCUCACCAAGGCGAUGAUGGGUAGCCGGCCUGAGAGGGUGAUCGGCCACAAGGGGACUGAGACACGGCCCUUACUCCUACGGGAGGCAGCAGUGGGGAAUAUUGGACAAUGGACCGAGAGUCUGAUCCAGCAAUUCUGUGUGCACGAUGAAGUUUUUCGGAAUGUAAAGUGCUUUCAGUUGGGAAGAAACAAAUGACGGUACCAACAGAAGAAGUGACGGCUAAAUACGUG